Molecule: ribosomal RNA, 495 nt
Filed under: Streptococcus sp. 'ARUP UnID 634'
Lineage: Bacteria; Bacillati; Bacillota; Bacilli; Lactobacillales; Streptococcaceae
Description: bacterial SSU rRNA
Rfam family: Bacterial small subunit ribosomal RNA
Source: RNAcentral
GGACGAACGCUGGCGGCGUGCCUAAUACAUGCAAGUAGAACGCUGAAGGAGGAGCUUGCUCUUCUGGAUGAGUUGCGAACGGGUGAGUAACGCGUAGGUAACCUGCCUGGUAGUGGGGGAUAACUAUUGGAAACGAUAGCUAAUACCGCAUAAUAGCAGUUGUUGCAUGACAGCUGUUUGAAAGGUGCAAUUGCACCACUACCAGAUGGACCUGCGUUGUAUUAGCUAGUUGGUGGGGUAACGGCUCACCAAGGCGACGAUACAUAGCCGACCUGAGAGGGUGAUCGGCCACACUGGGACUGAGACACGGCCCAGACUCCUACGGGAGGCAGCAGUAGGGAAUCUUCGGCAAUGGACGGAAGUCUGACCGAGCAACGCCGCGUGAGUGAAGAAGGUUUUCGGAUCGUAAAGCUCUGUUGUAAGAGAAGAACGAGUGUGAGAGUGGAAAGUUCACACUGUGACGGUAUCUUACCAGAAAGGGACGGCUAACUACGU